RNAcentral lists this ribosomal RNA (235 nucleotides) under uncultured bacterium. Its description in RNAcentral is "partial 16S ribosomal RNA". It matches the Rfam family "Bacterial small subunit ribosomal RNA", at positions 118 to 347 of the family's 1533-position model. The record is from RNAcentral.
UGAGCAAUCUGCCCUUCUCUUCGGAAUAAGCGUGGGAAGCCGCGUCUAAUGCCGAAUACGACCUCCUUUCGCAUGAUCGGAGGUGGAAAGCUCCGGCGGAGAAGGAUGAGCUCGCGGCCUAUCAGCUAGUUGGUGUGGGUAAUGGCCCACCAAGGCGACGACGGGUAGCCGGCCUGAGGAGGGUGACCGGCCACACUGGGACUGAGACACGGCCCAGACCUCCGUACGGGAGCAG